UUUACAUUUUGUUAUUUUGACCCCGUCAUUUAGACAACGUUUUCUCGCUCAAUAUUGUAGCUGCAAUAUUCUAGCUCGUACCAAAAUGUAGCUGAUUUCACCAGCUAUCUGACAAUAUGUGUAAAAUUAUUAUACUUGUAAUAUUCGCACAGAUAUAGACGAAUAAAAGUCAUGUUUAUGUUCCAUUAAACAUUCUAAUUAUAAUUCUGCAUGGUUUCAAACAUUGUUUACAUUUUUUUAUUUUGACCCCGUCGUUUAGACAACGUUUUCUCGCUCGAUAUUGUAGCUACAGGAAUAUAGCUCCCGCUAAAAUGUAGGCAUUUUCACAAGCAUUCAAACUAUCUGCGUUAGGGAUGAAUGUCGUUAAUAGUCGGAACAUAUUAUGUCUGCUUUUAGGCAUGAG
Paramuricea clavata is the source of this 403-nucleotide non-coding RNA. NCBI's taxonomy places the organism in Eukaryota, Metazoa, Cnidaria, Anthozoa, Malacalcyonacea, Plexauridae. The record is from the annotation of a GenBank genome assembly.